UGAGGAAUAUUGGGCAAUGCCCGCAAGGGUGACCCAUCAACGCCGCGUGGAGGAUGAAUGUCGUAAGAUUGUAAACUCCUGUUAGAGGGGAAGAAUAGUACCGGUUGGACCGGUAUAUGACUGUACCCUCAGAGAAAGCCCCGGCUAACUACGUGCCAGCAGCCGCGGUAAUACGUAGGGGGCAAGCGUUGUCCGGAUUUACUGGGUGUAGAGGGCGCGCAGGCGGGAUAAAAAGUCAGUGGUGAAAUCCUACAGCUUAACUGUAGAACUGCCUUUGAUACUUUUAUUCUUGAGUUCGGGAGAGAGAGACGGAAUUCCAGGUGUAGUGGUGAAAUACGUAGAUAUCUGGAAGAACACCAGUUGCGAAGGCGGUCUCUUGGUCCGACACUGACGCUGAGGCGCGAAAGCGUGGGGAGCAAACA
Molecule: ribosomal RNA, 422 nt
Filed under: uncultured bacterium
Lineage: Bacteria
Description: bacterial SSU rRNA
Rfam family: Bacterial small subunit ribosomal RNA
Source: RNAcentral